Long non-coding RNA from Micropterus salmoides (largemouth bass), 2382 nucleotides. RefSeq lists it as uncharacterized. The transcript has 3 exons. The record is from RefSeq and is a predicted model, not a curated record. NCBI's taxonomy places the organism in Eukaryota, Metazoa, Chordata, Actinopteri, Centrarchiformes, Centrarchidae.
CAGACCUGUGGACCCGUCUCAGACUAGAGGUAUCAGGAGAGAGAGAGUUACUGAAGGACCGGUCCAGGUGCUGCACCAACAGACACAUCGACGUCACCGACCGGAGUGAUGGAGCCAACAUGAGAGUCUUACUCCUGGAGCAGCAGGUGGCGCUGUAGUGCUCCGGAUUCCUCAGCAGGUGAUCGGCCAUCUGAUCUGCAGCCUGAGGCCUGAAGUGGCACUGAGAGCACUGCAGCAGGAACACACUGAAACAACAACGUCAGAGAUGCAGUAACUGUGGCACUAAAUGUGUUUCUCACCCCUCCCCUACGGAAAAAUAUAUAACUUCAACCGUAAAUCCACAGUUACACCACAAAACGCUAGUUAGCGACUGUACUGAGUUUCUUCUUCUUUGUUGGUGUCUGCUGCUACAACGAGCAGAUCAGUUACUUUUAGUGAAAUCACUAAGUAGGGCCUCGGGCUUCAGGCUUCAGGAGUAGGGCCUCAGGCUUCAGGAGUAGGGCCUCGGGCUUCAGGAGUAGGGCCUCGGGCUUCAGGAGUAGGGCCUCGGGCCUCGGGCUUCAGGAGUAGGGCCUCGGGCCUCGGGCUUCAGGAGUAGGGCCUCGGGCUUCAGGAGUAGGGCCUCGGGCCUCAGGCUUCAGGAGUAGGGCCUCGGGCCUCAGGCUUCAGGAGUAGGGCCUCGGGCUUCAGGAGUAGGGCCUCGGGCCUCAGGCUUCAGGAGUAGGGCCUCGAGCCUCAGGCUUCAGGAGUAGGGCCUCAGGCCUCAGGCUUCAGGAGUAGGGCCUCGGGCCUCAGGCUUCAGGAGUAGGGCCUCGGGCUUCAGGAGUAGGGCCUCGGGCCUCAGGCUUCAGGAGUACGGCCUCGGGCCUCAGGCUUCAGGAGUAGGGCCUCGGGCUUCAGGAGUAGGGCCUCGGGCUUCAGGAGUAGGGCCUCGGGCUUCAGGAGUAGGGCCUCGGGCCUCAGGCUUCAGGAGUAGGGCCUCAGGCUUCAGGAGUAGGGCCUCGGGCUUCAGGAGUAGGGCCUCGGGCCUCAGGCUUCAGGAGUAGGGCCUCGGGCUUCAGGAGUAGGGCCUCGGGCUUCAGGAGUAGGGCCUCGGGCCUCAGGCUUCAGGAGUAGGGCCUCAGGCUUCAGGAGUAGGGCCUCGGGCCUCAGGCUUCAGGAGUAGGGCCUCGGGCUUCAGGAGUAGGGCCUCGGGCUUCAGGAGUAGGGCCUCGGGCCUCAGGCUUCAGGAGUAGGGCCUCAGGCUUCAGGAGUAGGGCCUCGGGCCUCAGGCUUCAGGAGUAGGGCCUCGGGCUUCAGGAGUAGGGCCUCGGGCUUCAGGAGUAGGGCCUCGGGCCUCAGGCUUCAGGAGUAGGGCCUCGGGCUUCAGGAGUAGGGCCUCAGGCUUCAGGUGUGGGGCCUUGGGCCUCGGGCUUCAGGAGUAGGGCCUCAGGGCUUCGGGAGUGGGGCCUCAGGGCUUCGGGCUUCAGGAGUAGGGCCUCAGGGCUUCAGGAGUAGGGCCUCAGGGCUUCGGGCUUCAGGAGUAGGGCCUCAGGGCUUCAGGAGUAGGGCCUCGGGCUUCAGGAGUAGGGCCUCAGGGCUUCAGGAGUAGGGCCUCAGGGCUUCGGGAGUAGGGCCUCAGGGCUUCGGGAGUGGGGCCUCAGGGCUUCGGGCUUCAGGAGUAGGGCCUCAGGGCUUCAGGAGUAGGGCCUCGGGCCUCGGGCUUCAGGAGUAGGGCCUCGGGCUUCAGGAGUAGGGCCUCGGGCUUCAGGAGUAGGGCCUCAGGCUUCAGGAGUAGGGCCUCGGGCUUCAGGAGUAGGGCCUCGGGCCUCGGGCUUCAGGAGUAGGGCCUCGGGCUUCAGGAGUAGGGCCUCAGGCUUCAGGAGUAGGGCCUCAGGGCUUCAGGAGUAGGGCCUCGGGCCUCAGGCUUCAGGAGUAGGGCCUCAGGCUUCAGGAGUAGGGCCUCGGGCCUCAGGCUUCAGGAGUAGGGCCUCAGGCUUCAGGAGUAGGGCCUCAGGGCUUCAGGAGUAGAGCCUCAGGGCCUCAGGCUUCAGGAGUAGGGCCUCGGGCUUCAGGAGUAGGGCCUCAGGCUUCAGGAGUAGUGACUGACCCGGCUCAGUCUGCUGUGACCCGGCCUUUCACUGGUUCUGUUCUGAAUUUAACAAACAGCUCAACACGAGUGAGUCAAGAGAGAAAACUCAGCAGAGUGUGGUUCUGACACCAUUUAGCAGUCAGAGGAGUUUCAGUGAUGCAGAGCGACACCUACAGGUCAGACAGAGCAACUGCAGCACUCUGCUCUACAUCGACAGCUCCUACAAACAUCAAACCCUGAUCACCAGUGAGUGUGUACAGCUGUGAGUCUGUGUGUGUCGGCCCAGAGGGCUGUGAUCAGUGAUCAGUGAU